GCUCUGCUCAUGCAGCUGAACCUCACCGCCACCUCCACCUCCACCACCUCCACCGCCACCUCCACCGCGGCCGGGAAAAACGUCACCACCCUCAACUUCAAGCGGCGGAAAUCCUGCUCCCGACAAGCCGAUCUGGAUGAAGGACCGCUCGGUCCAUCCACCGACGGGCACGGCGGCGCGACGGUGGCGGUGGCGGCGGCGGCGGCGGCGACGACGUCGACGCGCGUCUU
Lethenteron reissneri (Far Eastern brook lamprey) is the source of this 230-nucleotide long non-coding RNA. RefSeq lists it as uncharacterized. The record is from RefSeq and is a predicted model, not a curated record. NCBI's taxonomy places the organism in Eukaryota, Metazoa, Chordata, Hyperoartia, Petromyzontiformes, Petromyzontidae.